AUGAACGCUGGCGGCGUGCCUAAUACAUGCAAGUCGAGCGAACAGACGAGGAGCUUGCUCCUCUGACGUUAGCGGCGGACGGGUGAGUAACACGUGGAUAACCUACCUAUAAGACUGGGAUAACUUCGGGAAACCGGAGCUAAUACCGGAUAAUAUAUUGAACCGCAUGGUUCAAUAGUGAAAGACGGUUUUGCUGUCACUUAUAGAUGGAUCCGCGCCGCAUUAGCUAGUUGGUAAGGUAACGGCUUACCAAGGCAACGAUGAGUAGCCGACCUGAGAGGGUGAUCGGCCACACUGGAACUGAGACACGGUCCAGACUCCUACGGGAGGCAGCAGUAGGGAAUCUUCCGAAAUGGGCGAAAGCCUGACGGAGCAACGCCGCGUGAGUGAUGAAGGUCUUCGGAUCGUAAAACUCUGUUAUUAGGGAAGAACAAAUGUGUAAGUAACUAUGCACGUCUUGACGGUACCUAAUCAGAAAGCCACGGCUAACUACGUG
RNAcentral lists this ribosomal RNA (496 nucleotides) under uncultured bacterium. RNAcentral describes it as "partial 16S ribosomal RNA". It matches the Rfam family "Bacterial small subunit ribosomal RNA", at positions 29 to 507 of the family's 1533-position model. The record is from RNAcentral.